This 253-nucleotide ribosomal RNA is filed under the name uncultured bacterium. Its description in RNAcentral is "partial 16S ribosomal RNA". It matches the Rfam family "Bacterial small subunit ribosomal RNA", at positions 524 to 776 of the family's 1533-position model. The record is from RNAcentral.
UACAGAGGUCCCAAGCGUUGUUCGGAUUUACUGGGCGUAAAGGGUGCGUAGGUGGCAGGGUAAGUUUGGUGUGAAAACUCCGAGCUCAACUCGGAAACUGCAUUGAAUACUAUCCUGCUUGAGGAUCGGAAGGGAGACUGGAAUUCUCGGUGUAGCAGUGAAAUGCGUAGAUAUCGAGAGGAACACCGGUGGCGAAGGCGAGUCUCUGGACGAUUCCUGACACUGAGGCACGAAAGCUAGGGGAUCAAACAGG